UCCAGAACAGUUUUGGAAGCAGAUCCCUACACAAAGCACCCAUAAUCAAAAGCAGAUCUGAUCAUGUCCUGAAAAAUUUGCAACAUUGUCUCCCUAUUAGCCCCACACCCAGCCAGACUUCUCAUCACAUUCAAAACUUUUUCACACUGCAACACAGUUUUACCAGGUGCACGGCCCAAGUCAUACACUCUUCAAACCAAAUACCCAAAAAAGUUUAAAACAUUUACCUUCUCCAAUGGAGACUCAUACAUAUAUAACCCAGAUUAGGUAACUUUCUUUUAAAACCCAAAAUUAUAUAUUUUGUUUUAGAAGCAGAUAUUUUGAAGCCCCAUGUAUUUCCCCAUUCCUCUACAGAUAUGAACACUCUUUGUAUAGCUUUUAAAACAAGCCCUACGUUACACCCUCUUUUCCAAAUAGCCCUGUCAUCUGCAAAUAAAAAGAAACCUGAAUCCUCUCUCUAUUUUAUCAAAGAUAUAAUUUAUCAUUAUAUUAAAUAAAACUGGACUUAUUACACCAAAGACUUAAACUACUUCAGUCUAUGUGCAUUUUAUUUUCAUAAUACAAAAAGCUUCACAAUUUGAGUUACAUUACUGAAAUAAAUGAACUAUUCCACGACAUUCUAAUUUAUUGAGAUGCACCUUUAGUCAAGUAGACAAAUACAAAGACUGCAAAUGUGGGUAUUUGAACAAGGCUUCUGGGUAGAAAGUGAACCUCUUUAAUCCUGCCCAGGUUUAAUGAUUUUCAAGCUGUGCGCGCUUACUGAUUAUGUAAUAAUGAGUUAACAAGCUGUCCAGGUGGCACAAAUUGUUUUCUGUUUGGCUUUAAAAGUCCUGGUUUGGAUGGAACUAUAUGUAUAGUUUGGUCAUUUUGAGGUUAAGGUUGUAGUAAAGAAUGGAUAUGAUUAAAUUUACUCUUUUGGUGUUUCUUUAUCACCAGUUGCUAUGGCAAGGAAAUGUCUGGAGUCAGGGUGAGCUGCCAGUUAACACCACGGCGCCAGAGCUUCAGGGGGACGAAUCGCCAGCUAACACCACGACGCCAGAGCUUCAUGGGGACGAAUCGCCAGCUAACACCACGGCGCCAGAGCGUCAGUGGGACGAAUCGCCAGCUAACACCACGACGCCAGAGCGUCAGUGGGACGAAUCGCCAUCUAACACCACGACGCCAGAGCAUCAGUGGGACGAAUCGCCAGCUAACACCACGGCGCCAGGGCCUCAGGGGGACGAAUCGCCAGCUAACACCACGACGCCAGAGCGUCAGUGGGACGAAUCGCCAGCUAACACCACGGUGCCAGAGCGUCAGUGGGACGAAUCGCCAGCUAACACCACGGCGCCAGGGCCUCAGGAGGAUGAGACUGAGACCACUUCUAGUGCCACCACACAGUCUCAGGAGAUGGAGACCACUUCUAGUGCCACCACACAGUCUCAGGAGACUAGACCACUUCAAACACUACCUAAGCCUUGUUGAAUAGGUUUUUUUUGGUGCUGUCUAGCUGCUUUGUCAAAAGUUGACUAACAAAAUAAAAGUUUAAUGGUUUGUCUUGUUCAAUGUCUCUUUCCAGAGUUGGAGCUGCUUUUAAUGCCAAUUCUUUCUCUUUGGGGGGGGUCGCUUUAGCAGUUGACCAUUUCUGGUACAUUGCUGUUACCAAUUCUGCCUAAACGUAAUGGGCUCUAAGCAAGGAGAGGUGGUGUAUUUCUGCUCCUGUUAUACUGGCAAGGGCACUUCUGGCUUGUACAGUAAACUAAGAAACCAUCAGUUGUGUGGGAGACACGCCCCCUUACUAAAAGAAAACACUGUAGUUUUAUACAGUGAAGUUGAGGUUAUAUCUUCAUAACAAUGGAAAAAACUUUUACAACGUUUUUAAGGCAAAUGAAGGCAUCGUAGGAGCACUGUAUUCUCAUUCUGUGUCUUCACACUACAACUCCUGUGCUAGUUCUCAUUCCUUUCUGGUGAAGGAAGACAUCAGGGGGAAAAAUGGAUUGUAAACCUUAAAAAAAAAAAAUCAACUUCCAAAUGAAACAAGCAAAGGUAACCCCUUGUCCAUUUCUGGUAGCAUUAAUCCGCUGUUUGGUGUCAUGUCUUAACUAUCAGAAUAGACCACUUGUUAAGGCAUGGGCCCAGUGAGUCAGCACAGUGUCAUUGUUGUCUGUGUACGAAGUCUUUAUUUGGCACAUUGAAGUUAAAGAGUUUGGUGAUUUUACAUCCGAGUUAGUUCUGGCUGCAGGUAAAGUUUUAAUCGUUGUUGAUUUUAAUAUCCAUGUUGACAAUGAAAAAGAUGCAUUGGGAUCAGCAUUUAUAGACAUUCUGAACUCUGUUGGGGUUUGACAACACGUAUCAGGACCUACUCCUUGUCGAAAUCAUACUCUAGAUUUAAUACUAGAACUAGAACACCCAUCACCUGCCCUGAAUGCCUCCCCACAAAACCAUUCACACCAUUCACAACUCCUGCAACCAGCCCCAAAUGCCUCUCCAAACAACCGUUCACACCAUUAACAGCUCCUGCAACCCAUCCUGAACACCUCUCCAAUCAAGCACUCUCACCAUUCACACCUCCUGCAUCCCCCCUCUCCCCCACACCUGCAAUUCAGAUCAGCGAGGAUGCGGUGCGCCAGGUCUUCUGGAAGCAGAAAAGGAAAAAAGCACCAGGCCCAGAUUGUGUUACACCAAUCCUGUGCUGACCAGCUGGCCCCCAUCUUCACACAGAUCUUCAACAGAUCGCUGGAGCUGUGCGAAGUCCCUUCAUGCUUCAAACGCUCCACCAUCAUCCCCAUCCCUAACAAACCCAAAAUUACAGGACUAAAUGACUACAGGCCUGUGGCUCUAACGUCUGUAGUCAUGAAGUCAUUUGAAAAACUGGUGCUGGCCCACCUGAAGGACAUCACUGGGCCCUUGCUGGAUCCUCUUCAGUUUGCCUACAGAGCAAACAGGUCUGUGGACGAUGCAGUAAACAUUGGGACUGCAUUAUGUUCUGCAACACCUAGACAGACCGGGGACUUAUGUGAAGAUCCUAUUUGUGG
RNAcentral lists this long non-coding RNA (3014 nucleotides) under Carassius auratus (goldfish). RNAcentral's name for it is "lncRNA (ENSCARG00000037050.1)". Lineage: Eukaryota; Metazoa; Chordata; Actinopteri; Cypriniformes; Cyprinidae. The record is from RNAcentral.